ACGAAAAUUUUGAUCUUUUAUUUGUUUACCCGAGAACAUGCAUACGAUGUAAUAACUCCCAAAACUCCAGACAGCCAGUUCUGCCACCACCAAGACCACCAUAAAAGCGAAUUCAGCAGAAAGAUAAUACUCAUAAUGCAGCACUUUGCCGCAACAUAAUCAAGAACCCCAUCCACCACCACCUGGAGUUAAAAUCUGAAGAAUUUCCCCAGCCUGCACCUCAACUGUGUUCUUACCUCCAAGGUAAACUCUGCGUUUAUCUUUUGUAAUCAGGUAAUUAGCCCCACGUGCACCGUCUUUUCCUCCUUUUAAACCUCUUGGUGCGUGAACUCGCCUCUCUGAAAGAAUGCUCACUACAACUGGUCGUCUGAACUCUAUCUCCCUUAUGAGCCCAUCACCACCUUUAUUAAGUCCACUUCCCCCACUGUUCUCUCUAAGUCCAAAUUUAUGCAAAAGAACGGGACACCUCUGCUCAAAAAUUUCUGGAUCAGUCAUACGGGUAUUAGUCAUAUGGCACUGGACUCCACUCGUCCCAUCCCAGCUUGGACCAGCCCCACUUCCACCCCCAAUUGUUUCAUAAUAACCGAAAGUAUUAUCCCCAAAAGUGAGAUUAUUCAUGCAACCCUGAGAGCAAGCACAGGCCUGAAAUGCAGUAAGUACAACAUCAGUUACUCUUUGAGAUGUGAGAACAUUACCUCCAACCACAGCAGCCUUCUCACUUGGAGAGAGGAAUGAUCCUGGAGGAAUAUAGAUUUUAACAGGGGCUAAGCAACCCUGGUUGAGAGGAAUAUCAACAUCCACCAAACAGCGAAGGCAGUAUAUGACUGAUGCAGCUGUUACUGCCUCUGGCGCAUUCCAAUUGCCAUACACCUCGGGGCUAGUCCCACUAAAAUCAAAAACUGCUUCCCCUCUCUCUGAAUCAAUAGUAAGUUUUAGAUGUAUCACAGACCCAUCAUCCAUGUAAUCAUCUUCCUUGAUGGUUACAGAAGUAUUCUCUUCAAAUCUAGCUGAUUGAGACGAAACUCUAGCAGCAACUGACUUGAGCAUUUCUCUCACUGCUGCUUCUGCAUUAAGCUGCACAUAGGUCAUGUAUGCCUGAACAGUGUCCAAACCAUACUGCUCAAUUAGUUCUUUGAUAAGGGAAAUUCCCCUCUGGUUUGCAGCUACUUGUGCAUGUAGAUCUGAUAGAUUAUCUUGAAGGCGGCGGCUUCCUGGGAUUUUACGAGCUGAUUCAUCAGAACAUGGGAACUUCAGAAGUUUGAUGAUUCCUUCCUCUUGAAAAACUCCUCUUUCCACAAGCUUAAAUGCUUUAAUUGCAGCUCCUUCUUCCCAUAUAGACUUUGAAAAUGGAGGCAUACUUCCCGGAGUAAUACCCCCAAUCUCUGCAUGAUGCCCUCUACUUGCAACAAAAAAAACCAGUUUACCCUUAUCAAAAACCGGCGUGAUGACAGUUAUGUCUGGAAGAUGGCUUCCUCCAGCACAAGGAUGAUUCGUAACCAACACAUCACCUUCAUUCAGAUUUUCACCCCAGUAAUUGAGUUGCCAUCGAACUGUACUUGACAUAGCUCCAAGGUGCACAGGUACAUGGGGAGCAUUAGCAACUAGUCCCCCAUCAGGACCAAAAAGAGCACAAGAAAAAUCUAGCCUUUCCUUGAUAUUUGUUGAAAUGGAAGUCCUCUGCAAAGUCCGUCCCAUUUGCUCAGCUAUCCCCAUAAACCUGUGAUUGAAAAUUGAGAGCUGUACAACAUCUGCAACUUUUUCAGAUAUUUUCACAGUGCUUAUAUUAGAUUCAAUUUCAAUUUUAAUGUUUCCAUAUUUGGUUAUAAUAGCUUUGCAAUUGGGCUCUACUAUGACAGUACUAUUUCCAUUCAUGAUAAUUGCAGGGCCAGGAAUAAUAUGUCCAGGCCCCAGAUUUUCAAGCUUGAAUAGAGGCGCAAGGUGCCAUCCCUUCCCAAAGUAAACGUUGUAGUGACCUUCCACUCUUGGGGAACCAGAAAUUGGUUCCAAGACCUGCGGCUUCAAUAUGUUAGUGACACCAACACCACGAACUCUUACAUCACAGAUAAGAAUAUUCCUGUUUUGCAGUUUGAAUCCAUAUUCCUGCU
This 2105-nucleotide unclassified non-coding RNA is filed under the name Hevea brasiliensis (rubber tree). The record is from RNAcentral. Lineage: Eukaryota; Viridiplantae; Streptophyta; Magnoliopsida; Malpighiales; Euphorbiaceae.